UGCAGUCGAACGGUGAUAGCAAUAUCAUAGUGGCGCACGGGUGCGUAACACGUAUGCAACCUACCUAUUAUUGGGGGAUAGCCUUUGGAAACGGAGAUUAAUACCGCAUAAUACGAUUGACUGGCAUCGGUUGAUUGUUAAAGCUUUGGCGAUAAUAGAUGGGCAUGCGUCCAAUUAGUUAGUUGGUUAGGUAACGGCUGACCAAGACGAUGAUUGGUAGGGGAUCUGAGAGGAUAAUCCCCCACACUGGCACUGAGAUACGGGCCAGACUCCUACGGGAGGCAGCAGUAGGGAAUAUUGGGCAAUGGGCGGAAGCCUGACCCAGCCAUGCCGCGUGCAGGAAGAAGGCGUUAUGCGUUGUAAACUGCUUUUUUAUAGGAAGAAGGAUCCCUUGCGAGGGAAGGUGACGGUACUAUAAGAAUAAGCACCGGCUAACUCCGUGCCAGCAGCCGCGGUAAUACGGAGGGUGCAAGCGUUGUCCGGAUUUAUUGGGUUUAAAGGGUGCGUAGGCGGUUUAUUAAGUCAGUGGUGAAAGACGGUCGCUCAACGAUUGCAGUGCCAUUGAUACUGGUAGACUUGAGUGAGAUUGAGGUAGCUGGAAUGGAUAGUGUAGCGGUGAAAUGCAUAGAUAUUAUCCAGAACACCGAUUGCGAAGGCAGGUUACUAAGUCUUAACUGACGCUGAGGCACGAAAGUGUGGGGAUCAAACAGGAUUAGAUACCCUGGUAGUCCACACUG
RNAcentral lists this ribosomal RNA (737 nucleotides) under uncultured bacterium. RNAcentral describes it as "bacterial SSU rRNA". It matches the Rfam family "Bacterial small subunit ribosomal RNA", at positions 56 to 802 of the family's 1533-position model. The record is from RNAcentral.